This 102-nucleotide signal recognition particle RNA is filed under the name Parvimonas micra ATCC 33270. RNAcentral describes it as "bacterial signal recognition particle RNA". It matches the Rfam family "Bacterial small signal recognition particle RNA". Rfam says of the family: The signal recognition particle (SRP) is a universally conserved ribonucleoprotein involved in the co-translational targeting of proteins to membranes. Archaeal SRP consists of a 7S RNA and homologues of the eukaryotic SRP19 and SRP54 proteins. In most bacteria, the SRP consists of a 4.5S RNA and the Ffh protein (a homologue of the eukaryotic SRP54 protein). The record is from RNAcentral. Lineage: Bacteria; Bacillati; Bacillota; Tissierellia; Tissierellales; Peptoniphilaceae.
GAGUGGGUCCUUACGCAAUAGAGCUUUACGAAUCUGGUCAGGUCUUGACGGAAGCAGCCAUAAGUAAAAUACUCUAUGUGCCGUAAGAUUGCUUGCUUUGAG